UGAGAAUUGUUAUUUAUUUUGCUGACGUGCUUGAUCUAAGUUUUUUUUUCCUUAAUUGGUGAUGUAAUGUUGAAUCUUAAAAUGCAAUGUACAAUUUUUACUCUCCAUAUAUUCUAUUACUUGUACAGAUUAUGACCACAGUAUAUGUUGUACUUAUAGCACUGUAUGCAAGAUGAAUUUGAAGAAAUUAUCCUUUUUACAAUUGUAGGAGAGACUCCACUGCGUAUGCUGAUGUAUGCUUCAGAGAAUU
This 250-nucleotide long non-coding RNA is filed under the name Panax ginseng (ginseng). Its description in RNAcentral is "long non-coding RNA (PGIN_LNC016439)". Lineage: Eukaryota; Viridiplantae; Streptophyta; Magnoliopsida; Apiales; Araliaceae. The record is from RNAcentral.